Myiozetetes cayanensis is the source of this 380-nucleotide long non-coding RNA. RefSeq lists it as uncharacterized. The transcript is spliced from 3 exons. The record is from RefSeq and is a predicted model, not a curated record. NCBI's taxonomy places the organism in Eukaryota, Metazoa, Chordata, Aves, Passeriformes, Tyrannidae.
CCGAGGCCGCGGCGGGGGAGUGCAGGGCUGUCAUGACGAUGACCCCGGGGGGCAGGGACAGGCCGCCCAGCGCCGGGAUGGCCGAGAAGAUGCUCUACCUGAAUAGUUCAGAUAUUUCCAGCAUCUUUUCUGAUGUAGGGCUAUCGAUCAGAAACGCUCUCUCGGGAGGCAGUCGUGGGGCUACGUCUAGUUUCCAGACUCCGCCCAACCUACCGAGUGCAAAAACUUCGUCUUCUCCCAACGUUGUGCACUAAAAAGCGGGCUUUUUGUAAACAAAUCCAGAUGAAGGGAGCGUAAAUCUACAGAAGGAACCUCACCCCCGGCUGCACUGGGGACCGGUGGGCGUCUUUCCGUCGGAGAAAAAAAAAAAAAAAAAAAAG